Molecule: non-coding RNA, 69 nt
Organism: Podarcis lilfordi (Lilford's wall lizard)
Lineage: Eukaryota; Metazoa; Chordata; Lepidosauria; Squamata; Lacertidae
Source: the annotation of a GenBank genome assembly
GCUGUAGCUCGGUGGCAGAGGAUCUGCUGUGUGUGCAGAAGGCCUCAGGUUCAAUCCCCGCCAUCUCCA